AGUGAACGCUGGCGGUAGGCCUAACACAUGCAAGUCGAACGGCAGCACAGUAAGAGCUUGCUCUUACGGGUGGCGAGUGGCGGACGGGUGAGGAAUACAUCGGAAUCUACUUUUUCGUGGGGGAUAACGUAGGGAAACUUACGCUAAUACCGCAUACGACCUACGGGUGAAAGCAGGGGAUCUUCGGACCUUGCGCGAUUGAAUGAGCCGAUGUCGGAUUAGCUAGUUGGCGGGGUAAAGGCCCACCAAGGCGUCGAUCCGUAGCUGGUCUGAGAGGAUGAUCAGCCACACUGGAACUGAGACACGGUCCAGACUCCUACGGGAGGCAGCAGUGGGGAAUAUUGGACAAUGGGCGCAAGCCUGAUCCAGCCACACCGCGUGGGUGAAGAAGGCCUUCGGGUUGUAAAGCCCUUUUGUUGGGAAAGAAAAGCAGCAGGUUAAUACCCCGCUGUUCUGACGGUACCCAAAGAAUAAGCACCGGCUAACUUCGUG
This 492-nucleotide ribosomal RNA is filed under the name uncultured bacterium. Its description in RNAcentral is "partial 16S ribosomal RNA". It matches the Rfam family "Bacterial small subunit ribosomal RNA", at positions 29 to 507 of the family's 1533-position model. The record is from RNAcentral.